RNAcentral lists this unclassified non-coding RNA (1881 nucleotides) under Hevea brasiliensis (rubber tree). The record is from RNAcentral. Lineage: Eukaryota; Viridiplantae; Streptophyta; Magnoliopsida; Malpighiales; Euphorbiaceae.
AGCAUAUCUCCUCUUCUCUCGUUCUCUUUUUCACUCUCAAAAUAUAACUUAGAAGUAAAGAAAAAUUCAGCUUUAAAGGUUUAAGCCUUAGGCUCUUUUCACUUGGCAAUAACCAUUCCUCUGUUUAGUUCAUUUAAAGUUGCUAACCUCCACAGUCUUUAGCCAUGGAGACUGAGUCAGCAACUCAAGAGAAAGCUGGGCCGUUCACAAGUGCAUGGGGCUGGCUUAAGGCCUUGCCUGGUAAAUCAAAGUCCAAGGUGCUGAAAGUUGCAAAGAGCAUCAGAAAGCUUGGACAAGAUGACCCAAGAAGAGUCGUUCACUCCCUCAAAGUGGGACUUGCUCUCACAUUGGUGUCCUUGCUAUAUUAUUCUAGGACUCUCUAUGAUGGUUUUGGGGUUGCUGGAAUGUGGGCUGUGCUAACAGUGGUGGUAGUCUUUGAAUUCACUGUAGGUGGCACCAUGAGCAAGAGUUUGAAUAGAGGUUUUGCAACACUCCUGGCUGGUGCAUUAGGGGUUGGAGCUCAACACUUCGCAAGUCUCUUUGGAGAGAAAGAAGAACCUAUUGUUCUUGGAUUUCUUGUUUUCCUUUUAGGCGCAGCAUGUACAUUCACUCGAUUCUUCCCAAGAAUCAAGGCAAGAUAUGACUAUGGAGUCUUGAUAUUCAUAUUAACAUUCAGUAUGGUGUCAGUCUCCGGUUUUCGAGUAGUAGAGGUCUUAGAAAUGGUUCAUCAAAGGCUAUCAACAAUAAUAAUAGGUGGAGCAACCUGCAUAGUUGUAUCUACGUGUAUCUGUCCAGUCUGGGCUGGUGACGAUCUUCAUAACUUGAUUACUUCCAAUAUAGAAAAGCUUGCAAGCUACCUUGAAGGUUUGGGAGAUGAAUAUUUUCACUACUCAUCAGAGGAUGAGGGAAAGGCUAAGGUCUCCAAUAAAGACAAUUCGUUUCUUCAAGGAUAUAGAAGUGUCCUCAAUUCAAAAUCCACUGAAGAUUCCAUGGCAAAUCUUGCAAGAUGGGAGCCUAGACACGGCCGUUUCGGCUUCCGGCAUCCAUGGAAGCAAUACCUGAAAAUUGGAGCCAUCUCAAGGCAAUGUGCUUACCAUAUUGAAGCUCUUAAUAGCUACAUCAACUCUAAUAUCCAAGCAUCAGAGGAAUUCCAGAGUAAAAUUCAAGAACCAUGCACCAAAAUGAGUGAAGAAUCAGGCAAGGCACUAAGAUCCCUGGCCUCAGCAAUCAAAACAAUGAAAAAUCCCUCCCCUGCAAAUAUCCAUUUGGAAAACUCCAGAACUGCAAUUAAUGAACUCAAAGUUGCUGUAAAAGCUAGCUCACUAGAGCAAGCAGACCUCCUAGCAAUCGUGCCAGUUGCAACAGUUGCAUCCACAUUAAUUGAGAUCGUAAAAUGUGUGGAUAAAUUAUCUGAAGCAGUUCAUGAACUUGCUAAUCUAGCACAAUUCAAGCCUGUGGAAGCUAAUGUGUCACCAGAGAAACCUCAGUUAUUGCUUCACCGCGGAAUUGUAAAUCCUGUUCUUGAUGGUGAUAAUGAUACUGAUCAUAUUGUGAUUACAAUAGACGCCAACCCCACAGAUUCCCCAGAAAAUGAGAAGCCUCAGGCAACAAAGCCUCAGGCAACAAAGCCUAGCCACAUACAUCCUGAAGUGUAAAUAUUUUGUAACAAAAACAUGUGAACUAAUUUUCAUCAUAAUAGUUCACACUGUUAAGUAAAUUUGAUCUCUACUCUAGCUUCGUGAAGGAAAAAAAAGUAUUCCUGAAAUUGUCCCCACUAUUAGUUUGUAUUCCUUGUAACAAGUACUUAAGUUGAAAAAAAAAGUAUUCCUGAAAUUGUCCCCACUAUUAGUUUGUAUUCCUUGUAACAAGUACUUAAGUUGA